UACGUACCGUCCAAACGUUAUUCGGAAUCACUGGGCUUAAAGAGUUCGUAGGCGGCCCAGAAAGUUGGGUGUGAAAUCCCUCGGCUCAACCGAGGAAUUGCGCUCAAAACUACUGGGCUAGAGGGAGAUAGAGGUGAGCGGAACUGAUGGUGGAGCGGUGAAAUGCGUUGAUAUCAUCAGGAACACCGGAGGCGAAGGCGGCUCACUGGGUCUUUCCUGACGCUGAGGAACGAAAGCUAGGGGAGCGAACGGG
Molecule: ribosomal RNA, 253 nt
Filed under: uncultured bacterium
Lineage: Bacteria
Also listed under: 1 other name
Description: partial 16S ribosomal RNA
Rfam family: Bacterial small subunit ribosomal RNA
Source: RNAcentral